Molecule: ribosomal RNA, 387 nt
Filed under: uncultured bacterium
Lineage: Bacteria
Description: bacterial SSU rRNA
Rfam family: Bacterial small subunit ribosomal RNA
Source: RNAcentral
GACGAACGCUGGCGGCGUGCUUAACACAUGCAAGUCGAGCGGUAAGGCCCUUUCAGGGGUACACGAGCGGCGAACGGGUGAGUAACACGUGGGUGACCUGCCCUUAGCUCUGGGAUAAGCCUGGGAAACUGGGUCUAAUACCGGAUAUGACUCCAUGACGCAUGUUGUGGGGUGGAAAGCCUUGUGCGGCUAGGGAUGGGCCCGCGGCCUAUCAGCUUGUUGGUGGGGUGANGGCCUACCAAGGCGACGACGGGUAGCCGGCCUGAGAGGGCGACCGGCCACACUGGGACUGAGACACGGCCCAGACUCCUACGGGAGGCAGCAGUGGGGAAUCUUGCGCAAUGGGCGAAAGCCUGACGCAGCGACGCCGCGUGGGGAGUGACGGCC